AUGGAUCGUUCAAACCUUCA
Molecule: unclassified non-coding RNA, 20 nt
Filed under: Chlamydomonas reinhardtii
Lineage: Eukaryota; Viridiplantae; Chlorophyta; Chlorophyceae; Chlamydomonadales; Chlamydomonadaceae
Description: small RNA Cre_0753
Source: RNAcentral